GGUGCUUGCACUGGUCAAUCUAGUGGCGAACAGGUGAGUAACACGUGGGUAACCUGCCCAUCAGAGGGGGAUAACAUUCGGAAACGGAUGCUAAAACCGCAUAGGUCCUUUAACCGCAUGGUUGAAGGAGGAAAAGAGGCGCAAGCUUCUGCUGAUGGAUGGACCCGCGGUGCAUUAGCUAGUUGGUGAGGUAACGGCUCACCAAGGCCGUGAUGCAUAGCCGACCUGAGAGGGUGAUCGGCCACAUUGGGACUGAGACACGGCCCAAACUCCUACGGGAGGCAGCAGUAGGGAAUCUUCCGCAAUGGACGCAAGUCUGACGGAGCAACGCCGCGUGAGUUGAAGAAGGUUUUCGGAUCGUAAAACUCUGUUGUUAGAGAAGAACAAGUGCUAGAGUAACUGUUAGCGCCUUGACGGUAUCUAACCAGAAAGCCACGGCUAACUACGUGCCAGCAGCCGCGGUAAUACGUAGGUGGCAAGCGUUGUCCGGAUUUAUUGGGCGUAAAGCGAGCGCAGGCGGUUCCUUAAGUCUGAUGUGAAAGCCCCCGGCUCAACCGGGGAGGGUCAUUGGAAACUGGGGAACUUGAGUGCAGAAGAGGGGAGUGGAAUUCCAUGUGUAGCGGUGAAAUGCGUAGAUAUAUGGAGGAACACCAGUGGCGAAGGCGACUCUCUGGUCUGUAACUGACGCUGAGGCUCGAAAGCGUGGGUAGCAAACAGGAUUAGAUACCCUGGUAGUCCACGCCGUAAACGAUGAGCGCUAAGUGUUGGAGGGUUUCCGCCCUUCAGUGCUGCAGUUA
This 797-nucleotide ribosomal RNA is filed under the name uncultured Granulicatella sp. RNAcentral's name for it is "bacterial SSU rRNA". It matches the Rfam family "Bacterial small subunit ribosomal RNA", at positions 75 to 854 of the family's 1533-position model. The record is from RNAcentral. Lineage: Bacteria; Bacillati; Bacillota; Bacilli; Lactobacillales; Carnobacteriaceae.